AACGAACGCUGGCGGCAUGCCUAACACAUGCAAGUCGAACGAGACCUUCGGGUCUAGUGGCUCAUGGGUGCGUAACGUGUGGGACCCUGCCCUUAUGUUCGGAAUACCUCUCCGUCGGGGGUGCUAAUACCGGGUAAUGUACGCGGAUCAAAGAUUCGUCCUCUUUGUAGGGGCCGUGGUUGUUUUAGCCGGUUGCGAGGGUAAAAGCCUACCAAGGCGACGUUCCAUAGCGGGGCUGAGAGGCAGAAACGCCACUCUGGCACUAUGACACGGCCCAGACUCCUACGGGAUGGAGGAGUGGCUAAUAUAGGACAACGGGCGAAAUCCUGAUCCAGCAAGGCCGCGUGAGUGAUGAAGUCCUUAGAGAUGUAAAGCACUUUUACCCGGGAUGAUAAUGACGGUACCGGGAGAAUAAGCUCCGGCUAACUCCGUG
RNAcentral lists this ribosomal RNA (433 nucleotides) under uncultured bacterium. RNAcentral describes it as "partial 16S ribosomal RNA". It matches the Rfam family "Bacterial small subunit ribosomal RNA", at positions 29 to 507 of the family's 1533-position model. The record is from RNAcentral.